RNAcentral lists this transfer RNA (92 nucleotides) under Thermoanaerobacterium sp. RBIITD. RNAcentral's name for it is "Selenocysteine transfer RNA". It matches the Rfam family "Selenocysteine transfer RNA". Lineage: Bacteria; Bacillati; Bacillota; Clostridia; Thermoanaerobacterales; Thermoanaerobacteraceae. The record is from Rfam by way of RNAcentral.
GGGAGUAGAUAGGUGCUGGUGUGCCUACUGGUCUUCAAAACCAGCUUCUCGUCUAAAAAGGCGAGGGGUGGGUUCGAUUCCCACAUACUCCC